CCUAAAUCUUUUCUUCUCUUUUCUGCGAGGUCAUUGACUUACAGGAGUUACCUGGAGUUGCUUCUUCAGUUAGUGGAUAUUAAGAAGCUCACAACCACGCUGGAACUUCAUACUAGCAGCUGCAGACUCAAGAUACGAACACGAUCUCUUUAUUCGCUUAUAUGAACUUUGCGAACAAUUUCUUCUUGAAGCCUUCCAAUCGGAUUAGUGGUCCACAAACACACGUUCCCAUCAAUUUCCCGAAAGGAUCUUUGAGAUCCUCUGUCUCUCUUAGAAGCAUCAUUACACAAUAAUUUUAACUCCUCUUUUUGUACUCUUUUUGGGACUGAUUUAAUUUCAACAGACAUUGUCCCAAAUUUCCAACCAAUCGAAAAAUCUCCUUCCUUUCUUCAUCUGUUAUCGAUUCACGGUCUCUGAUACCAGUUGUAGUCUCUGUAGCAGCUCAUGUUGCAGAUGUGAUUUUUCCACCAUAAACAAAAUAGGAAUCUGAGUUUGAAGGCUUUCCCUUGAAUCCAAGACCAUGUCGAUCUGUUUUCCCAAUGUUCAGAAGAUGAUCCAAUUUGUCUGUACCACUAUUAAGCAUUCUUAAAUUCUUUUGAGUUUCUUGAAGUCUGAUUCUAACUUGUAAUGCUUCUUCUUCUUUCUCUAUUGCAUACUUUUGUGCUUUAACAA
Non-coding RNA from Camelina sativa (false flax), 672 nucleotides. The record is from RefSeq and is a predicted model, not a curated record. Lineage: Eukaryota; Viridiplantae; Streptophyta; Magnoliopsida; Brassicales; Brassicaceae.